AAAGACAAGGUCGUUAGAAAUAUUUUAAGCGAGUAGGAGAUGGUGGAAGCCCUACAAUCUCUUUCUAUGGAUCAUCACUUUGUUUGAUCUUUCCUGAAAAUAGUAAGGAGAGACGUCCGUUCACGUUACGAACAUAGAGGGAUAGAGGAAACUCUAUCUAAACUAAGGUGGUACCACGAACUUUCGUCCUUAUUUGGCGGGAGUUUUUUAUUUUUAUGAUA
This 221-nucleotide unclassified non-coding RNA is filed under the name Streptococcus suis P1/7. RNAcentral's name for it is "T-box leader (RF00230) as predicted by Rfam". The record is from RNAcentral. Lineage: Bacteria; Bacillati; Bacillota; Bacilli; Lactobacillales; Streptococcaceae. RNAcentral also lists the same sequence under 2 other names.